This 440-nucleotide ribosomal RNA is filed under the name uncultured bacterium. Its description in RNAcentral is "partial 16S ribosomal RNA". It matches the Rfam family "Bacterial small subunit ribosomal RNA", at positions 338 to 795 of the family's 1533-position model. The record is from RNAcentral.
CCUACGGGUGGCAGCAGUAGGGAAUAUUGCUCAAUGGGGGAAACCCUGAAGCAGCAACGCCGCGUGGAGGAUGAAGGUUUUCGGAUUGUAAACUCCUUUUGUUAGAGAAGAUAAUGACGGUAUCUAACGAAUAAGCACCGGCUAACUACGUGCCAGCAGCCGCGGUAAUACGGAGGGUGCAAGCAUUACUCGGAAUCACUGGGCGUAAAGAGCGCGUAGGCGGGAUAGCAAGUCAGAUGUGAAAUCCUAGGGCUUAACCAUAGAACUGCAUUUGAAACUGUUAUUCUAGAGUAUGGGAGAGGUAGGUGGAAUGCUUGGUGUAGGGGUAAAAUCCGUAGAGAUCAAGAGGAAUACUCAUUGCGAAGGCGACCUGCUAGAACAUAACUGACGCUGAUGCGCGAAAGCGUGGGGAGCAAACAGGAUUAGAUACCCUAGUAGUC